Alligator sinensis (Chinese alligator) is the source of this 251-nucleotide long non-coding RNA. RefSeq lists it as uncharacterized. Lineage: Eukaryota; Metazoa; Chordata; Crocodylia; Alligatoridae. The transcript is spliced from 3 exons. The record is from RefSeq and is a predicted model, not a curated record.
GGGGAAGGAGUGCAUCCCAGAGCUCCAGAGAGGUUGGAUUUAGCAGUGCCCUUGACCGAAAUCAUCAAGGCGGCAGCUCCAACCAAAGUGAGAUGGACACCAGAAGCAGCAUUUCAAAAGGUCAGAAGUUCACAUAAAUCAUGGACCACGCCCCUCUGCAAUGGCUUCAACACUUGAAGACUGAUAAUGCAAGGCUGAUGAGAUGGGCUCUGUCUUCAACCAUACUGUUUUGUGGUGAAGCAUCAUCCAGG